AGCGAACGCUGGCGGCAGGCCUAACACAUGCAAGUCGAACGAACUCUUCGGAGUUAGUGGCGGACGGGUGAGUAACACGUGGGAACGUGCCUUUUGGUUCGGAAUAACUCAGGGAAACUUGUGCUAAUACCGAAUGUGCCCUUCGGGGGAAAGAUUUAUCGCCAUUAGAGCGGCCCGCGUCUGAUUAGCUAGUUGGUGAGGUAACGGCUCACCCAGGCGACGAUCAGUAGCUGGUCUGAGAGGAUGACCAGCCACACUGGGACUGAGACACGGCCCAGACUCCUACGGGAGGCAGCAGUGGGGAAUCUUGCGCAAUGGGCGAAAGACUGACGCAGCCAUGCCGCGUGAAUGAUGAAGGUCUUAGGAUUGUAAAAUUCUUUCACCGGGGACGAUAAUGACGGUACCCGGAGAAGAAGCCCCGGCUAACUUCGUG
Molecule: ribosomal RNA, 433 nt
Filed under: uncultured bacterium
Lineage: Bacteria
Description: partial 16S ribosomal RNA
Rfam family: Bacterial small subunit ribosomal RNA
Source: RNAcentral